This 6035-nucleotide unclassified non-coding RNA is filed under the name Portunus trituberculatus (swimming crab). RNAcentral's name for it is "macrophage mannose receptor 1-like, transcript variant X2". The record is from RNAcentral. Lineage: Eukaryota; Metazoa; Arthropoda; Malacostraca; Decapoda; Portunidae.
ACGCGGGCAGCUUCACCUGGAUAGACGGAACCAGCAGCAACAGAACCUACUGGCAUGACGGACAGCCUGAUAAAUCAUACAACGGAUUUGGGGCAGCGGUGGUGAACAACGACGACCCCGAUGGCUUGUGGAUGGUGGAGAAGGUCACUGAGGAAUACCACUACUUGUGUGAGAAGCCUCAAGGGUCGUGCUUGCCUGGGUGGGAGGAGUUCGAGGGCUCCUGCUACUACUUCAACACGGAGAGUACUGAUCUGAAAGUGUGGGAGGACGCUCAGACCACGUGCAGGGAUGUGAAGGCCCGCAUGGUUGUGCUGAACACCGAGGAAGAGGACGUUUUCUUCCGCAGCCGUAUGCCGGAGCUCGAUAAGAUUUGGAUUGGGUUGUAUAGCGAGCCCGGUAAGGAUGUCUAUUGGACGGAUGGCACAACAAUGGAGAUCAAGAACUUCACUCAUAUGUCUGAUGAAGAUAAGAACGCCGCCAUUAGUAACAGCGUCCAGCAGUGUGCCUACCUGCAGCAGACCACAAAUGCAGAAGGCGAGACCGUUUCCUCUUGGAUUCCUACUGACUGCACCACACCGCUACAUUACGCUUGCGAGGCGGAUGUUGGGGCAAAGCUUAGCCUCAUUCCUCCCUCUAAUGAUCGGCACUGCCCGGUAGGACAAUGGAAGCAAAAUGAAGAUUUUUGCUACCUCUUCCUUACUGACGAGAAGUCGUGGACCCAAGCUGAGGGAUACUGCCAGAGCCUCGACAGUAAUGCUCAUCUCGUGUCAAUCCUCACGUGGGGCGAGCAGGAUUUUGUGUUCAAUGAAGAGCUGGCGAGUGGGUGGAUAGGACUCAAUCAGAGGACAGGAGAACAGUGGAGCUGGAAUGACGGCAGCAUUGUCACUAUCCAGAACUGGGAGGAAGGGGAGCCAAAUGGACAGGAGGAAACUUGCGUUGAGAUGUACAGCAAUAAUGGGAAGUGGAAUGACAUGUUCUGUACUGACCUGAAGACGUUUACCUGCAAGAUGCCAGCCUCUAACACCCCCAUCGGUACCGUCACCACCACCACUGCCAUUCCUGAUACCUCUGCGUGCGGGUAUGACUGGACGGAAAACCCCAGCACGGGCGAGUGUUACCGCGUGGAGGUGUAUGACAUGGUGUACAAUGACGCGCUCCUGCACUGCAAGGAGCUGCACUACUACGAGGGACAGUCAGAGCCGAACCUUGUGUCCAUCUACACACCCGAGGAGCAGGACUUUGUGUACAAAUUGUUAGAGAGUCAGCACCUCAGCCAGAGCAGCAUUUGGAUCGGCAUGAAGAAUGAUUUUGCGGGCAACUACUGGCUGGAUGACACUCCCUCCGCUUACUUCAACUUUGCGGAUGGCGAACCCAACGACCAGUGGAACGAGAAUUGCGUGGAGAUGUACACAGACGGUGGCAAAUGGAACGACGCCUUCUGCAGCAAUCGCCAGCCAUUCAUUUGCGAGAAGAAAGGGAGGAAUUACGUUGGACCUCAGCCGCCGCCUCCCCCUGAAGUGCUAUGUCCAAGCGGGUGGGAAUACUGGGACCACAACUGCUACUACUUCUCCUCGGACAAGACUGACUGGUUCCGGGCUGCGAGCAACUGCGAAGCCAUGAUGGGAAGUCAUUUGGUCUCCAUCACUAACCUGGACGAGAAUAACUACGUGCAAGGCAUCCUGAAGCCAAAGCAGAGGGACGCGUGGCUGGGUUUGCGGGACGACGACCAAGGUAACAACUGGCACUGGACCGAUGGAUCUCCGAUUGACUGGACCAACUGGGGUUACGGCGAGCCCAGUAACUAUAACGGCGAGGAGCACUGCGGGGAGAUGAGGUCGUGGGACUAUUACUGGGACGGAAAAUGGAAUGACAUGAAGUGCACCCAAGACAACUACUACGUGUGCAAAGUGAAAGUUGACACUUGCCCGGUGGACUGGGUGUUCAAUGACGGCAAGUGUUAUUAUGUGAGUGACUUCGAGGCGACCAGGAACGAGGGGGAGGUGAAGUGCCAGGAGAUGAACACGAAGGCAACACUCGUCAACAUUCACUCCGAAGAGGAAAAUCAAUUCUUUGCUAAUCAGCUAAUCCAGAGCAGUCAGUCGUGCUGGAUGGGGCUGCAGUAUAACGGAGCCAACUGGACCUGGGCAGACGGCACACCCAUGGACUACAGUAACUGGAACUCAGGGGAACCAAACAACAUGGAAUCUGAGACGUGCGGCGAGAUGAUUGACUACCCUAACUCUGCUUACGAGGGGAAGUGGAACAACCUGGAGUGUGGAACGUCGAGAGCCUUUGGGUGUGAGUUGUAUCCCACUCACAUGAUUGCCUGCGCUGACGGCUGGGAGGAGUUCGAGGACUACUGCUACAAAGUCUACAAUGACGAUUACUUAUUACCAGAAGAGGCGAGGGAGAAAUGCCAGGACGAGAAUGCCGAUCUGGCGUCCGUCCACUCCUACCAAGAAAACGACUUCAUAUAUUCCUUGUUGGGCUACGAGUCUUUCUGCCCCUACCUUGGCCUCACGGACGUCGGCCACCCCAAGUUCUUCAAGUGGCUGGACGGCACGACAGUGGACUUCACCCUGUUUUCGAGUUCCUUGGUCUUAUGGCCAUCCGAGCUGUGUGCCUGCAUGCAAGGCUACUACUCAGGCGAAUGGAGCUUGGAAAACUGCGACAAUAUGGAGCACUUCGUAUGUAAGAAGCCCAAGGAAGCCAAGCCGCUGCACCCAGUCGAGACGGGCUGUAAUGAGGGAGACAUUUACUACGAGGCAACCUGCUACGGCUUCCAUGAGCUCUCCUCCUCGUGGAAUAAAGCCAAGGAGGACUGUGAGUUCCGCGGCCAGCACCUCGUUGCCCUCGAGACACAGUUUGAGAACGCGUAUGUUUCCUCGCUGCUGGCAGAAAGGAAGUCGAGGAUUUGGAUUGGUCUCUCCGGCACCAUCGCCUCUGACGGAAGUGUUACCUUUUCCUGGGUGAACGGGAAGCCCCUUGACUACUCCUACUGGAAUAGAUACGAGCCAGAUCCAGAACACGGGACUUGCGUGAUUUCCUCAGGGCAGGACAACGGCUUAUGGGGAGUCCGAAACUGCGAUGACAAUUACGAGUACAUGUGUGAGUAUGACCGAGUUGGAUACACCACGCCGACCCCUCCCACCACCAAGGCGCCCUCUGACUAUUGUAUGUACGACUGGGAGCACAAAGGCCUGGCGUGCUACAAGGUGAUGCUGGACGGGGACACCUGGAGCGGGGCAGAGGAGAGGUGCACCAAGUUCGGCGGGCACCUGGUCAGUGUGAGAGACGAGCUGGAGCAAACACUGAUUCUCGGCCUGACAGGGAUGGACGAGGCUGUGUCAAAAUACGGCAGUAUCUGGGUGGGUCUGGUCCUCGACAUUAACUCAGGUUACCAAUGGGUGGACGGAACGGGUGUCGACUUUGUGAACUGGGCAGAAGGGCAGCCAGACAGCCACGAGGGGCGGGAGUCGUGCGUGUCAGCUGAUGCCUCCAACUUGAAACUCUAUGACAGUGUUUGCGUCACCCACAUGCCCUUCAUCUGCGAGGCGCCCACAGGCAGCAUGAUGACCACCGUCACUGCUCCCCCUAAGCCUCCCAUGGACCCGUGCCCUAACAACCCUGACUGGUACAAGUACGAGAACCACUGUUACAAGUUCGUUUCCGUCACGGACGAGCCAGCACAGACGUGGUGGAAGUCUCACAAACUCUGCAGGGACGAGGGUGGCGAGCUGGUCUCCAUUCUGUCACACGAAGAGAACUACUGGAUUGAGUCUAUGAUUUACAACAAGGACGGUAUGGCGAUGUGGACUGGUGGGCGGGCGUUGAUGGGCACCGGGUAUGAGUGGCUGGACGGCGAGCCCUUCAUCUAUGACAACUGGGCGUCAGGCGAGCCCAACAAUGUGCACGACCAAGAGGACUGCAUCAGCAUGUACACCAACAACCAGGGCUACUGGAACGACCUGAACUGCGGCAUCGAAGCAGGUCGUAUUUGCAAGCGUCCGGAUGGCGAGACUCUGCCCCCGGCCAAGACCACCGUGGUCCCUGACGGCCACUGCCCCGUGGGUUGGGUGCACACAGGCACAAAAUGCGUCUACUUUAACAAGAAGAGGCAGAACUUCACAAUAGCUCGGCAGGUUUGCCAGAAGAUGGGAAGCAAGGCGGAUCUGGCCAGCAUUCACUCCGCCGCUGAGCAAGCUUACCUGACUGCGGCCAUGGUGACGCAGGAGCUGCACAUGUGGAUCGGGAUGCGGUACGAGUUGGGCUUCUAUUGGGUGGACCAGUCAGCGGUCACGUACAUGAACUGGGGACCUGGAGAGCCCAACGGAGGGGCGGGGAAGGAGGAGUGCGUGGAGGUGAAUACUGACACUGGCCACUGGAAUGACAUCAACUGUUCCGACGAGUUUGGCUCCAUCUGCAUGAUGACCCAAGAUCCAGACCAGCCCGACCACCACACCACGAAGAAAUGCCCCGCGCCUCACGAGAACUACUUAGCCUACAACGGGCAGUGCUACAGAGCAGUCACUGAUGCCAAGACGUGGGAGGAAGCGGAGGCGACCUGCACGGGGGAGGACGCCCACUUGGUUUCCAUCGAGACUCCAGCCGAGGACAGCUUUGUGUGGGCGUUGUCGCAGGAGAAUGCCUUUAGCAGCUUAUGGUUGGGACUCAGCAACAAGAAGAAUUUUGACAAGUAUGAAUGGUCAGACGGGUGGCCGAUGAUCUACAGUAACUGGGGGUAUCAGGAACCAGUAGGCGACCCACUGAAGCGCAGCUGUGUCAUUAUGAACAUGACGGAGGGCAGCUGGUACACCAAGCCCUGCGAUCAGUCCUACACCUUCACUUGUAAAUACACUAACGAGACGGUACCCACUGUGGACCCGCCAAUCACCGGCACCUGCCCCGACAACCGCUGGGUGGAUCUCAAGGGCAGCUAUUGUUACUUAUUUUCCAACGAAACCCAGAAGUGGGCCGAUGCCAACCAGAUCUGCAUGCAGGAGGGCUCAAACCUCGCCUCCGUGCAUUCAGAUGGUGAAAUGAAGCUGAUCAAGCUUCACAUGAAUGACCGUAAUGAACCCUACUGGCUUGGCCUUCUUGAAUCUAACAACGGCGAGAAAUGGACGGAUGGCACGGGUCUAGACUUCGUGUACUGGAUGAAGGACGAACCGAACAGCCACGCGGAGAAGUGCACGGAGGCGAUAGUGAAGACCGGCCGGUGGAACGACGCAGAUUGUGAAGAAGCACGCUACUACGUCUGCAAAACCCGCAAAAUUCAGGAAGGAACAGAUGUCCCGCCAGUACAAACCACGACGAAGAAGCCAGACGGUAGUGGAGGAGGCUCAGGUAAGCUGAGCGGCGGCGGCAUCGCGGGCAUCGUCAUCGCCGUGCUGUUCGUGGUGGCAGCAAUGGGCUUCGUGGGCUUCACCUACGUGCAAAAAAAACCUAAAAGACUGAGAGGCUCCAACCAGCGACUCAGCUUCGAGAACAUCGCUUACUCUCCAGACAACAACACGGAGGUGUCAGCGCCGAGUGUGGGCGGUGUGUCAGUCAUCAAUGUUGCAGAUGGUCAGGGAAGUGAAGCUUAAAUAAUUACCAUCAAUUCUAACACUAAUACUAUUCAAACAUCAAUAUUUUUCAUGAUCCAUUGCAAUUUCCACCUUUUCCUCGCCUCUAAAUGGUCUCUUUGCUGCUGAGCCUGUCAAUUAAUUACUCGUUCAUGACUCAAUUGUUCUUGUGUUCUGUUCUGUUACACGCAGUUUAUCAUUUCUUCCUCUUUCUGUCGUUCUCUUCUCCCCCUCCUGGUCCUCCCUUCUUCAGGCACGCAGUUCACAGAAAACGAGAAAGAUGGGCUGUUAAGAUUUUUAUAGUUUGCCUGUCUCCAAGUUUACGAUUUCAGGUUAAAAGUAAUGUGAUACCGAUAUGUGUGUGUGUGUGUGUGUGUGUGUGUGUGUGUGUGUGUGUGUGUGUGUGUGUGUGUGUGUGUGUGUGUGUGUGUGUGUGUGUGUGUGUGUGUGUGUGUGUGUGUGUGUGUG